GACAUUUUAACUAUAUAAGUAUAUAUUUUGAAAAUAUAAAAAAGAUCUCAUAUCUAAAUGUCU
Molecule: transfer RNA, 63 nt
Filed under: Alectorobius spheniscus
Lineage: Eukaryota; Metazoa; Arthropoda; Arachnida; Ixodida; Argasidae
Description: tRNA-Ser
Source: RNAcentral